GNARUAGGAGGAUCAUUACCGAGUGAGGGCCCUCUGGGUCCAACCUCCCACCCGUGUUUAUUUUACCUUGUUGCUUCGGCGGGCCCGCCUUAACUGGCCGCCGGGGGGCUUACGCCCCCGGGCCCGCGCCCGCCGAAGACACCCUCGAACUCUGUCUGAAGAUUGUAGUCUGAGUGAAAAUAUAAAUUAUUUAAAACUUUCAACAACGGAUCUCUUGGUUCCGGCAUCGAUGAAGAACGCAGCGAAAUGCGAUACGUAAUGUGAAUUGCAAAUUCAGUGAAUCAUCGAGUCUUUGAACGCACAUUGCGCCCCCUGGUAUUCCGGGGGGCAUGCCUGUCCGAGCGUCAUUGCUGCCCUCAAGCACGGCUUGUGUGUUGGGCCCCGUCCUCCGAUCCCGGGGGACGGGCCCGAAAGGCAGCGGCGGCACCGCGUCCGGUCCUCGAGCGUAUGGGGCUUUGUCACCCGCUCUGUAGGCCCGGCCGGCGCUUGCCGAUCAACCCGAAUUUUUAUCCAGGUUGACCUCGGAUCAGGUAGGGAUACCCGCUGAACUUAAGCAUAUCAAUAGC
Molecule: ribosomal RNA, 566 nt
Filed under: Penicillium sp. M1101
Lineage: Eukaryota; Fungi; Ascomycota; Eurotiomycetes; Eurotiales; Aspergillaceae
Description: eukaryotic LSU rRNA
Rfam family: 5.8S ribosomal RNA (bases 195-347)
Source: RNAcentral